Molecule: long non-coding RNA, 1919 nt
Organism: Carassius gibelio (silver crucian carp)
Lineage: Eukaryota; Metazoa; Chordata; Actinopteri; Cypriniformes; Cyprinidae
Exons: 3
Source: RefSeq, a predicted model, not a curated record
GUUAAAAUUAAGUUGGUGAGGAGGUCUAUCGCUGGCCCUGCGAAGUUUUCUUACCUCAGGCAAGGUCUUCCCCAGCCCAGCUACAAACAGACCCACCCUUCAGACCCUUCUAUUACAUCUCAACCUGCUGAACCUGAUGAUGCGACACAAGCUGUUCUGAGAGUGCAUACAGUAAGGCAAAGAAGAGAGAGCUUCAUGCCUGGGAUGCAGUCUAGGAUGAGAUGCUUAAGGUGUCGUUUGAAUGUUCAGCACAGAUCACUACCCAGUGUGCUGUCUGCCGAGAACAUGCUGAUUAUAGGUGCAUUGAGUGCAGCUCCACUGCAGUGUUCUGUGAGGUUUGCCUGAAGAGGAUUCACAGAAAUUUACUGCAUCUUCCUGAAAAGUGGAAUAGUGUUUACUAUGAGCCAUCCUCCCUGGGGUUAUUCCUAUAUUUACCUGAAGCCCAUGGCACCCAUGCUGUGUACACAAAGGACAUGAAGAUCAUUGUCAGCACAGGACGGCUCUGCACCGUUACAGUCAACAUGUGUGCGUGUGAACCAGAAACCUGUACUCUGCUAAGAUAUGGGCUCUGACCAGACAGCCUUCUCCAUCCCUCUGCUAGAGCUUUCUGUUUCUCUGUCACUGGAGUGUCAGGUUUCUAUUGAGGGUUUUUGCAACACCCCAUAUCCCAUUUUAGGCAUCACCACUUCCGACAAAGAAGUUUGGUUGAUAUUUGCCCACAAUUAAAUGAUGGAACAAUAUGCCCAGCAUGUCCAAAGGUUGGUUAUAAUUCCAGCGUGGUUCUUGUUUGAUUAAAUUAAUGGCAUAGAAAUAAAAUCUGAAUUAAUAUCAAACUUAAAAGUUAAUUUGUGUAUGUAGUAUUGUAAUAGAAUAGUAAUAGUAUAAAUGUAUAAACCUGGUGCGGGUACAAAACCAGUGUUACUGUAAGUGUUUGUUUUCCAGGCGGAUGGAGAUAUGAUUGUCACAUUGGAUGCCAACUUUGGCCUUGUGAGGAAUCAAAGCUCUGGGACAAGUGCGGUUGAUCCAUUACAUGGAACCCGCAUGCUUAGAGGAAUACCUGCUAUCACAUCUUGACAGCUCAAAGCCUCGAGGUGAAAACUUGUGAAAAAAGAUAACUAUUCCUCUCAUAAAUCUAUGUUUUCCUUAAAUAUUUAGGACUGCAGUAAGCUGCUCUCAUUCAAGGUAUUAUAAUAUAAUAUAAUAUAAUUACUUUACUGCGUUACUUGUGCAGACAUGUUGUUUUACUAGGUCUGAUCUAUUUUAAAGCUUAGGCACUGUAUUUAAGCAUACAUAUACACCACUAGUCUGUCUGUAUGAGUACAAAAUUAAAAAAUAAACUGUCUAUAAUUGUUACUGUACAAGCACAGUAAAAUAUUUAUAUAAAAAAUAUUGCACUACUGUUAUUUUGCAUAGAAUACAUUGUUCAACAAUAUUUUUGCACACUCAUCCAACUGCAUUUAUUACCACUGUUCUCACGUUCCUGCUGUUCAUAACAUAUAUAUAAUCCUUCAUUGCUCUGUUCAUAAUGUACAUACAAUCCCUACAUUGCAUUCAUAUUUAUAUUCUGUAUAUACUCUGAUCAAUAUUGUAUAUAGCAACUCCACUGUACAUUCUGUAUAUCAUAGCUUUACUUACUCUGCACUUUUAUGUAUAUAAAACACUAUAUUCUUGCUUUUCCGGUUAGAUGCUAACUGCAUUUCAUUAGCUCUGUACUUGUACUCUGCAUAAUGACAAUAAAGUUGAAUCUAAUCUAAUCUAAAAAAAAAAAAAAAAAUGUGUUUACCAUAAUGUAAUAUGUUAUUUACUGUAAUGUACAAAUGUGUGGGAGGUGUUUUGUUUUUUGUGAGCUCACCAUCAAAAUCCCCUUCGACUGAGUUGAAAUGAAAAUAAAUUAUUGGAUCUUGAAUCCUCUGAAGCAA